Oncorhynchus keta (chum salmon) is the source of this 194-nucleotide long non-coding RNA. RefSeq lists it as uncharacterized. NCBI's taxonomy places the organism in Eukaryota, Metazoa, Chordata, Actinopteri, Salmoniformes, Salmonidae. The record is from RefSeq and is a predicted model, not a curated record. The transcript has 3 exons.
AACGGCAAAGGUUAGGAGAACUAAAACGACAAAGGUUAGGAGAACUAAAACAACAAAAGUUAGGAGAACUAAAACGACAAAGGUUAGGAGAACUAAAACGACAAAGGUUAGGAGAACUAAAACAACAAAGGUUAGGAGAACUAAAACGACAAAAGUUAGGAGAACUAAAACGACAAAGUUAGGAGAACUAAAAC